CAGGCGCGAAAACUUUACAAUGCGGGAAACCGUGAUAAGGGAAUCUCGAGUGCCAGCAUAUAAUGUUGGCUGUCCAGAUGCCUAAAAAGCAUCUGUUAGCAAGGGCCGGGCAAGACCGGUGCCAGCCGCCGCGGUAACACCGGCGGCCCGAGUGGUAACCGCUUUUAUUGGGUCUAAAGGGUCUGUAGCCGGCCAGGUAAGUCCCUUGGGAAAUCUGGCAGCUCAACUGUCAGGCUGCUAGGGGAUACUGUUUGGCUUGGGACCGGGAGAGGUGAGAGGUACCUUGGGGGUAGGGGUGAAAUCUUGUGAUCCUCGGGGGACCACCAGUGGCGAAGGCGUCUCACCAGAACGGGUCCGACGGUAAGGGACGAAAGCUAGGGGCACGAACCGGAUUAGAUACCCGGGUAGUCCUAGCCGUAAACGAUGCUCGCUAGGUGUCAGUCACGGUGCGACCGUGAUUGGUGCCGUAGGGAAGCCGUGAAGCGAGCCACCU
Molecule: ribosomal RNA, 493 nt
Filed under: archaeon enrichment culture clone DGGE-4A
Lineage: Archaea
Description: bacterial SSU rRNA
Rfam family: Archaeal small subunit ribosomal RNA
Source: RNAcentral